CAGCAGCCGCGGUAAUACGAAGGGGGCUAGCGUUGUUCGGAUUUACUGGGCGUAAAGCGCACGUAGGCGGACUUUUAAGUCGGGGGUGAAAUCCCGGGGCUCAACCCCGGAACUGCCUUUGAUACUGGAAGUCUUGAGUAUGGUAGAGGUGAGUGGAAUUCCGAGUGUAGAGGUGAAAUCCGUAGAUAUUCGGAGGAACACCAGUGGCGAAGGCGGCUCACUGGACCAUUACUGACGCUGAGGUGCGAAAGCGUGGGGAGCAAACAGGAUUAGAUACCCCCGUAGUCCCUGUCUCUUAUAC
Molecule: ribosomal RNA, 301 nt
Filed under: uncultured bacterium
Lineage: Bacteria
Description: partial 16S ribosomal RNA
Rfam family: Bacterial small subunit ribosomal RNA
Source: RNAcentral